RNAcentral lists this unclassified non-coding RNA (338 nucleotides) under Hevea brasiliensis (rubber tree). Lineage: Eukaryota; Viridiplantae; Streptophyta; Magnoliopsida; Malpighiales; Euphorbiaceae. The record is from RNAcentral.
GGAAUCCUCAUCUUACUCAGGUAUAGAAAUUUACGCUAUUCCUAGAGUAGUUCUUGACAUUUGUUUUGUUGAUUAAUAUAUCUCUAUGUAUAGAAAAUUGAUUUUGUAGUCUCUUUUUCUUUUGUUAAAAUCUCAUUGUGAAUUUAAAUAAACGGUUGCAGAUCAUUUUCUACUAGACUUUAUGUGUUUUCACAGUUCCAUUAGGGCAUGUCUGUUAAAAAGAGUUAAAAGAAAUUUUUGAUCUUACAUAGAACCAAGAGCAGUAAAAUACACAAUUUUUUUUCUGACCUGCUAUCUCUCUGAUAUUUUUGCUUGCUUAAUUCCCAUGUUCUUUGUGA